Long non-coding RNA from Coturnix japonica (Japanese quail), 1820 nucleotides. Lineage: Eukaryota; Metazoa; Chordata; Aves; Galliformes; Phasianidae. The record is from Ensembl.
UCAGGGAGAAGAGCUGCAGGUUGGAUGGUGGCUGAGGAAAGGGAAGCAGCCAAGAGGGAAGAGCAGCAAAGACAGUGCUGUGUGUUCUGCCCCAAGCUCCGUUUGGAAGCCAGGAGAAAGGUCCACGCUGUCAGGUUACAGAUGGGACGGGAAGGAUGUUUGGGUCUGACCAAUGGAACCAUGGCAAGCCUGGGGGAAAGGGGCUGAGCCCAACGGUCACAGAAGCCCGUUGGGGGAGGGGCUCCCUAACUGCCACUCUCCAGCUGUCAUGGCAGAGAGAAUCCCUCGAGGAGCGCUGACGGUGCCUGUGACGCCUGACGCCACUUUCCCCCAACCCACUGUGCCGCCACCGGACCCCGCCUGGAUGCAGCCCACCAUCCGCGGACCGAUGCCGGUACCGGCACUGCAGCAGCACGUGCUCCCCGUGCCCUGCACCCUGCCCGACACCUGGGAGCCGCCCAUGGAGCCCUUGCAAGACGCCGUGCUGCUCAUGGAGGACCAGGGGCACCCAGCGCCCACCCACGCCUGCCCCCAUCCCGACACGGCUCCGCUCACCUGCAGCGCUGCCACAAUCAGGCCGACAUCAGGCCGUGAGUUCAGGGGCUGCACAGCACCCGGCUGCCUGUGGGAAAGCUGCCGGCAUUGCCCCACUGGGGAUCUUCUGGCUUUUUCCAAGCACGGACACAAGCCGCAGGCACCCCGCAGGACACCGCAGACAUGGAUCAUCUGCUGGCAUGGAUCGACCACGAAGUCACAUCCCAGACGGCCAUCCUGGACGACAGUAACGACUUUGACCAGCUGCUGACGUGGAUCAGCCAGGAAGAGACACCCAGGAGCAACAGACGAGAGGACGACGAGGAAAAUGGACAGUUUCCUCACGUGCAUUCUUGGUGAGUUUGUGGCUACAGAGGUGAUUGACGGGUGCUGUCUGCACCCAGCAGCGUGUGGAAGGCUGCCAUCAUCCUGCUCUGGGGAUGCUCUUGCUUUUCAGAAGCGACGAGUGCUCUGGAGGUCCCCCAGCACAACCAGGGCCUGCCUGCAGUCAAAAGAGAGGGGACCAGAGAGAACGAGAACAGCACAGAGCACCCUGACUCCCCGGGGGGCCAGCAGGGAGCUCAGCAAAGAGCGACCAAUCCUGAGUCAGGCUCCUGGCAAACCCGCCUCUGGCCGCAGCCAGCAUCCCUGAGCUGCCUGAGCCGACCCCCCUGGCUGCCCCCGCACCUCCGUCGCCCCGCACCGCACAUCUGAUGGAAGAGGCGCGGCGGAGGCAGCCCCGGGUGCAUCUCAGACGCCUGGCACUGCCACCCGGGUGCAUCUCCUGCCGGCUGGCAGACAAGGACAAGCAGCACGGGGACAGCAGCCAGCCGGCCAAGCACCCCGUGCCUCCUCUGAUGCAAACUGGACAGCUCAUGGAGGAGGCACGGCGAAGGCAGCCCCGAGUGCUUCUCACCCGCCUGGCACUGCCCACCCCCCUGGCUGCCCCCGCACCUCCGUCGCCCUGCACUGCACACCUGAUGGAGGAGGCACGGCGGAGGCAGCCCCGGGUGCUGCUCAGCCGCCUUUGACUGCCACCCGGCUGCAUCUCCUGACAAAUGGCACACAAGCAGCACGGGGACAGCAGCCAGCCGGCCAAGUGCCCAGCACCCACCUGCACCACCACAAGAGGCCAGAGCAGCGCGCACAAGCAGCACACUGGCAGCCAGUGUCCCCGCCACAACCAGGAAGACACCGCGCUGCCAGCAUGUUCCAGGCCACAACCACCGGCGCUAGGCGGAGCUGCCUGUGUCAGCACGGCGGCCGGCAGGAGACUCGCUGCCAUC